AUUUUCCGCAUUUUACAACAUUUUGCAACGAAACUUUGGAAUAUUACUACUUUUGUGAUGCUCUUUCAAGCUGUGAUGAAAUUUUUGUAUAGACUUAUUUAGUUCAAAAUUUAGUCUAUUACGCAAAUGGUCAAUUGCAAAGUUUGGUUGCGAGUUGUUGUAAAAUGAGGAAAAUAUAGCCCUGUGAAGUCCGCAAAUUUUGCAGUAUAUAUUUAGAUUAUAUAUAUACGCGCGAGAAAAAUAACCGUUUUUGAGCCGAAUCGAAAGUGGUUAUUUUUAUACCACGCGUAAUACAAAUAUAUACAAAAUUGGCGAACUUCACAGGGCUAUAUUUUCUUCAUUUUACAACAUGUGGCCAACCUUUGCAGUUUUACUCAUUCUAAGACGCUCUUUCUAGCUGUGGUGUUGCCUUGAUCAAAAUUUAGUCUAUAGCUGGGAUCACCCAUUUUACAGUAAAAAGUACUCUACUGGCAGCUGGGACGCCAGAAAAUAUACUGUAUAAUUUUACAGAGACUGUUUCUUAACCGAAGUCUGUAUAUAUAUAUAUAUAUAUAGACAAUAGGCCUCUGUAACUCAGUUAGUUAUAGCGCAGCACUGGAGGGCCGCAGGUUCGAUUCCUGCUAGGGACCUGUAGUUGCAUUUUUCGUCUAAUAAAUGUAUAUAAAUUAACUUCCAUGCAUUCGAUAAUUUCUAUCUGCAAGACUCUUCAAUUAUUAUUGAAUCGAGUGAGAUGUCACAAAAUCUCGAUAUUUACCCUUCCUAACUACCAACCUCUCAACGAAGGGUCAUCGCUUGAAACGUCGAAGAUCAGGUAGUUGUAUCUCUCUCAGUACCGUAGGCUGUCGUAUAUAUUAUGUCUGUAAUGUCAAGACCGUAACUAGCUCUGGGGGUUUGCUUCCCCCCAAAAAACAUUUUUGGCUUAAGCCAGUUUUCCACUUCAAUCGUAUCGUAUUUCUUUGUUUUCUGACCACUAGUGUGGAACUAAUGACUUCGACACUAAAGAAAAUCCUACGGUACGUUACGAUACGAUUGAAGUGGAAAACAGGCCUUAGAAACGCCAUUCCCUGCAUUCUGAGAGCAGUUUCAACUCAUGAUCAUAAACAAUGUAUUAAAAUGACUAUAUAAUUUUAUAGUCAAUCCUGAGAAUCACAAAUAUUCCUGGUCCGACAUGAUGAGGUGCAUAAUUUUUAAGUGUUUGUGGAAUUGUGGUAAUAUAAUAUGGGACGCUAUAAUUCCCAUGGGUACACCCACGAAAUAUUGACGUUUUAAGCAGCUGGAAAUAGAGCUUCGAGCCCUGCAUCAGUAAUGGAAAAAAUUCCAUUAUCUGAUUUCCUUCUUUGAACUUGAAGUCUUCAUGUUUUAACUUUU
Molecule: non-coding RNA, 1368 nt
Organism: Paramuricea clavata
Lineage: Eukaryota; Metazoa; Cnidaria; Anthozoa; Malacalcyonacea; Plexauridae
Source: the annotation of a GenBank genome assembly